UCCCCGAUAACUCAGUUGGUAAAGAAUCUGCCUGCAAUGCAGGAGACCCUGGUUCGAUUCCUGGGUCAGGAA
This 72-nucleotide transfer RNA is filed under the name Ovis aries (sheep). It matches the Rfam family "tRNA". From Rfam's summary of the family: Transfer RNA (tRNA) molecules are approximately 80 nucleotides in length. Their secondary structure includes four short double-helical elements and three loops (D, anti-codon, and T loops). Lineage: Eukaryota; Metazoa; Chordata; Mammalia; Artiodactyla; Bovidae. The record is from Rfam by way of RNAcentral.